RNAcentral lists this long non-coding RNA (547 nucleotides) under Malus domestica (apple). RNAcentral's name for it is "long non-coding RNA (MDOM_LNC013557)". The record is from RNAcentral. Lineage: Eukaryota; Viridiplantae; Streptophyta; Magnoliopsida; Rosales; Rosaceae.
GCCGAUGAAGGUUAUCUACAUUUGACGACCACUGAGGUGGCCAAGAGAGAUAGAUAACGCCCUUCAGCGCAUAAAAUUUUCGGUGAAAUGAAAAUGCGGGCACCUGACAUUUAAUAUUUUUCUGGUUUAGAAUUCUUAGGCAGGAGAUUGAUUAAGAGAACAAUAAUAAGGGUGCUUACAUAGGCAGAAGUGGCUUCCUAAGGAGGGAUGCCUAGGUUUUGAUCAUGUGGAUGAAUUGGCAUCUCCGCCGUUGCUUCAGUUUCAACGGCAAGACCCUUUCCAUGAUCGGCCACAGAGGGAUCAACCUGGCCGAUCAUUUCGACCGCAAAAAGAGGAUUGGUUGGUCAAGGACAACUUUCCAACGGAAUUUUGUCACUCUCGUCAUCCUGGAAUAAAGUUUGUUAGAAAUUCUAACAUUAAUUGAAAAAGAAAAUUACCAACCGCACAAUUAUACCUCCACGAUGAUCGCUGAUUGUCUUGGAAUCUUUGAGGGUGUUUUCUUUGCCACCGAAGUCAUUUUCUCCAAGAUAGAGGCAACGAUUGGCUC